Paramuricea clavata is the source of this 675-nucleotide non-coding RNA. The record is from the annotation of a GenBank genome assembly. Lineage: Eukaryota; Metazoa; Cnidaria; Anthozoa; Malacalcyonacea; Plexauridae.
CAUGUGAACAUCGCGUCUUCGAAAUAUUUGUACACGUUUUUAUACAUGAAAAAAUUUCUCAAUUUUGAUUGGGUAAGAGCAGUGGAUUUUUUUUCGAAAUACAUAGUGCCAAAAAGUGAAAUACAGUACAAAUUUCUUAGUUUUCUUAAAUUUUUGUUUUUCAAAUUUCUUAGUUUUCUCAAUUUGUAAAUGUGACUUUCGCAGGUGACUGCAUAAUUUUUUCAUGUAUAUUAUUAAUAAGUAAUUGUAUAGUUUCUCGUGCAAUUUGAAAAAACAUACACUUGUGAGUUUUUCAAAGACUUCAAAUUGCACUCGUCCAAUCAGCUUGAAGCAGUCGUUAAGUAAUGGUCACAGAUUGCUUCAAAACAAAACAAACAUGCAUGUAUGGAAGCCGCGCUACAUAAGUAAAAGUUGAGUUCGAGUUCUUCUCUUUUUAAAAUGGAAAAGACUUUACCUUAAACAAGACUAGCAGAACUUAUAUAUUUGAGUGAAAUUUUCAAGCCGUUAAAGUUGUAUAAUGUGAUAUAAUAAUAUACAUAAAGAUAUUACUCGACUGUGAUUGGUUGAUUUCAGUGCAGUUAAUCCCAAACAGCAGUGCAAUUUUUUGUAAUCACAGUGCAAUUUUCUGUAAUCACAGUGCAAAAAUGUGUAACAAACUGAUCUGAUUGGUGAAAA